UACGGAGGGUGCAAGCGUUAUCCGGAUUCACUGGGUUUAAAGGGAGCGUAGGUGGGCAAGUAAGUCAGUGGUGAAAUCUCCGGGCUUAACCCGGAAACUGCCAUUGAUACUAUUUGUCUUGAAUACUGUGGAGGUCAGCGGAAUAUGUCAUGUAGCGGUGAGAUGCUUAGAUAUGACAUAGAACACCAAUUGCGAAGGCAGCUGGCUACACAAAUAUUGACACUGAGGCACGAAAGCGUGGGGAUCAAACAGG
This 253-nucleotide ribosomal RNA is filed under the name uncultured bacterium. RNAcentral's name for it is "partial 16S ribosomal RNA". It matches the Rfam family "Bacterial small subunit ribosomal RNA", at positions 524 to 776 of the family's 1533-position model. The record is from RNAcentral.